Molecule: ribosomal RNA, 253 nt
Filed under: uncultured bacterium
Lineage: Bacteria
Description: partial 16S ribosomal RNA
Rfam family: Bacterial small subunit ribosomal RNA
Source: RNAcentral
UACGUAGGGUGCAAGCGUUAAUCGGAAUCACUGGGCGUAAAGCGUGCGUAGGCGGCUUUGCAAGUCAGGGGUGAAAUCCCAUAGCUUAACUAUGGAACUGCCUUUGAAACUGCAAAGCUAGAAUGUGAGAGGGGAUGGCGGAAUUCCUAAUGUAGAGGUGAAAUUCGUAGAUAUUAGGAGGAACACCCGUGGCGAAAGCGGCCAUCUGGAUCACAAUUGACGCUGAUGUACGAAAGCGUGGGUAGCAAACAGG